UCCUGAUUUUCACCACGACUUGCUGUUUUGGUUUCACAAUAAUUCAAUGAAUGCACCGACAAUACAAUUGAAUGGGGUAACGUUGGGUAGUACACAGUGACAUAACGACCCUUUUGUGUUAUGGGUUACUGAAUAUAGAACGAGAAAAAGACGAUAUGCUUGACUCGAUGAGACAUGUGACCGUAGAUGAAGCAGAGAGGAGCUGAAGGGGGGGAUUCGCCCAGUGAGCCAUACCAGCCAGAACCGCCACUGAUGCUACCAAACCAUGACUUGGGACCAAUCUUCGCCAAGAUGUCACAGGACCUGGAGUCUGUAACCAUUGACCUCUACACCAACUACCUUGACCCAGUCACUGACCACCUGCCCAUGUUUCCCAUUAGGACACAAGCUGAACUUCAACCUGAGGCUGAACUGCUUUGAAACAUGGGCAGACACAGAGGGGGAAAGAAGCUGCCAUGUCUCCUCCAACGGAGGUGCCUUGACUAUUCUUGGCGCUCUGCUCCUAGUCAGAGGCUCUAUGACCAACAAGUCACUUUAUCUAUCAAAUGUAUGGCUACCACUGCAGAUGAC
This is a long non-coding RNA of Oncorhynchus gorbuscha (pink salmon), 570 nucleotides long. RefSeq lists it as uncharacterized. The transcript has 3 exons. The record is from RefSeq and is a predicted model, not a curated record. Lineage: Eukaryota; Metazoa; Chordata; Actinopteri; Salmoniformes; Salmonidae.